Molecule: ribosomal RNA, 358 nt
Filed under: uncultured bacterium
Lineage: Bacteria
Description: bacterial SSU rRNA
Rfam family: Bacterial small subunit ribosomal RNA
Source: RNAcentral
CCGUCCCCGUUUAGGGUAACGGAAAUACGCCCGUAGGGAAACGUGGGAGUAAUACCGUAUGUGGUCGAGAGAACGAAAGAUUUAUCGCCAAGGGAUCGGCCCGCGUUGGAUUAGGUAGUUGGUGGGGUAAUGGCCUACCAAGCCGACGAUCCAUAGCUGGUUUGAGAGGAUGAUCAGCCACACUGGGACUGAGACACGGCCCAGACUCCUACGGGAGGCAGCAGUGGGGAAUCUUAGACAAUGGGGAAACCCUGAUCUAGCCAUGCCGCGUGAUCGAUGAAGGCCUUAGGGUUGUAAAGAUCUUUCAGGUGGGAAGAUAAUGACUGUACCACCAGAAGAAGCCCCGGCUAACUCCGUG